GACGAACGCUGGCGGCGUGCCUAAUACAUGCAAGUAGAACGCUGAAGGAGGAGCUUGCUCUUCUGGAUGAGUUGCGAACGGGUGAGUAACGCGUAGGUAACCUGCCUGGUAGCGGGGGAUAACUAUUGGAAACGAUAGCUAAUACCGCAUAAGAGUAGAUGUCGCAUGACAUUUGCUUAAAAGGUGCAAUUGCAUCACUACCAGAUGGACCUGCGUUGUAUUAGCUAGUUGGUGAGGUAACGGCUCACCAAGGCAACGAUACAUAGCCGACCUGAGAGGGUGAUCGGCCACACUGGGACUGAGACACGGCUCAGACUCCUACGGGAGGCAGCAGUAGGGAAUCUUCGGCAAUGGACGGAAGUCUGACCGAGCAACGCCGCGUGAGUGAAGAAGGUUUUCGGAUCGUAAAGCUCUGUUGUAAGAGAAGAACGAGUGUGAGAGUGGAAAGUUCACACUGUGACGGUAUCUUACCAGAAAGGGACGGCUAACUACGUGCCAGCAGCCGCGGUAAUACGUAGGUCCCGAGCGUUGUCCGGAUUUAUUGGGCGUAAAGCGAGCGCAGGCGGUUAGAUAAGUCUGAAGUUAAAGGCUGUGGCUUAACCAUAGUACGCUUUUGGAAACUAUUUAACUUGAGUGCAAGGGGGGGGAGAGUGGAAUUUCCUGUGUAGCGGUGGAAUGCGUACAAAAAGGGAGGAACACCCUUUGGGGAAAUUUUCU
RNAcentral lists this ribosomal RNA (717 nucleotides) under uncultured Streptococcus sp. RNAcentral's name for it is "bacterial SSU rRNA". It matches the Rfam family "Bacterial small subunit ribosomal RNA", at positions 28 to 726 of the family's 1533-position model. The record is from RNAcentral. Lineage: Bacteria; Bacillati; Bacillota; Bacilli; Lactobacillales; Streptococcaceae.